AAUUCCCGCAGCGGCACCGUAGGACUUUGUCAGCAGUUUCUAAGCAAUUGGCCGGUUCUUUUACUCCAAUUUGACCAUGGGAGUGUUUAAAAUUGAAUUCCGAGCAAAUGAAAAAAAUUUUACCUCUUUUGGCAGUCGGAAAGGGCUCCGGUGCGGCGGCGGGUGGCGGCAGCUCUCAUUCGCAGCAGCUAGGUCUUCUUCUCCGGCGAGGGCAUUCGACAGC
Molecule: long non-coding RNA, 223 nt
Filed under: Carica papaya (papaya)
Lineage: Eukaryota; Viridiplantae; Streptophyta; Magnoliopsida; Brassicales; Caricaceae
Description: long non-coding RNA (CPAP_LNC007809)
Source: RNAcentral